This 69-nucleotide transfer RNA is filed under the name Taricha granulosa (rough-skinned newt). Its description in RNAcentral is "tRNA-Val". It matches the Rfam family "tRNA". From Rfam's summary of the family: Transfer RNA (tRNA) molecules are approximately 80 nucleotides in length. Their secondary structure includes four short double-helical elements and three loops (D, anti-codon, and T loops). Lineage: Eukaryota; Metazoa; Chordata; Amphibia; Caudata; Salamandridae. The record is from RNAcentral.
CAGCCCAUAGCUUAAUGAAAGCAUCUUGCUUACACCAAGAAAACACCCGUUAAACUCGAGUUGAGCUGA